GUUAAUUAAAACCCCCAAAAGAAUAAAAUGCACUAAUAUAAAAGAAUAAACGUACAUGAAUUAUAUAUAUUCAUGGUAUCCUUCCUUCUGUAUUUGUCACUAAAAUUGAAAACUGAAAAGGUUUGAACAUCAUGAAUUUAACCUAUAUUCUAUACAAGAAUAUUCAUUUAUGAAGCCAAGAACUUUUAAAACUAUCAUCAAAUUACCUAGUGGAGAGAAGAAGAUUGUUUCAAAUCAUCACAUAUAUUCCCUAAGAAUUUUAUAGAACAGGCAGUACUCAGUAUAUAUUCCAUCCAUCUUUAUUAAUCCCACAUGCCAUCGAAGUCUGCAAUGGGCCCAACUGAUGAUGGACCUUCAAGAUCAUCGUACACCUUGUUGUUUCCGAAGUCUUGCUUCGACACCACUGAUGAUAUCUCGGUGGUGGUGUUCAUGUCAGUGCUCAGUCCAGUGUCCUGUGAGACGGUGGCCACAGAUUGAUUAGAUGAAAAUUGUUCAACCUUGCAGUGUUUCUCCUGCCCAGAUGUUUCAAUAUUGGCAGUCACUGCUCUUAAAAGGGUCUGGUCAUUAGUACCAAAGCUAUAGUUUGGGAAGUAUCCAGACAUAUUUGGGGUUGUUUGGAAAUUGAAAAGAGGAUUUGAGGCUGGAAUUUGAGGGUAGAAAAUGGAAUUUGGUGUUUGGUAGCUGGAAUUUUGAAGCUGGUGAUGAAGAUAGUUUUGAUUAUUGUUAACCAUGGAUGUGGACAAGUGGGGCAAGUAAUUUCCAUCUAAUGAUCUUGAUGUCAUUGCUUUGAAUUCAUCGUCUUCAUCGUUGAAGGUGCUGGAGCCAGGCCUGCUAGAUUGAGGAGGAUCCAUGAGAGGUGGGAGUGAUGAAUAAUCCAAGAAAUCAUCACCAAAGGAGUUCACCCUUAAGAGGUCCUGAAUUGAAGUUCUCUUUAUCCCUGUGCUCUUGUGGAAAACCCUGCAGACAACCCAUUCAUCCUGUACAAAAAGCCAUAAAUUUAGUCUAGCUAGAUUCUUCAUGUACACAAAAAGCAAAAGAAAAGGGAUACCCAUGAAAGAAACUCUCUGCCAAAAGAAAAGCUAAUUAUUUAAUAAAAGAUAUGAUAGAUAAACAGGUAAUGAGACUGAUAUUUCCUUUUAGAAACAACAAAUGAACAAGGAAAAACAAGAAAGGGAAUUGACUUGCUUUUGUGCAUAUGCGAUACAUACCUUUGAAGCUUUAGGAAGGUUGUAGUAAGAGAAUUUGCCUUCAAGUCUAUAUUCAUGCAUGACCCAAUUGGUUUUCUCCCCUUUAGGUGCUCUCCCUCUGUAGAAAACAAGGGUCUUCUUCAUCCCAACAAGGCAAUUUUUCCCCUUGUAAAUCUCCCUAUCUUUUCCGGUGGCCUUCCAAUAGCCGGCCUCCGUGGCUCGGUUUGUUCUCAUACCAGUUGGGUACUUCCUAUCUCUCUGGCAAAAGAAGUACCAUUCCUUUUCUCCCAUCUUUGCUUUCUUGGGCAAAUCCCAUGGUUCGCACUUAUUGAGAUCAACUUCACCAAUAGCACAUGCACUGAAACCGCUAUUAAUCACCUUCUCUGUGAGAUAAUGAGUUAUGAUCUCUUCAUCUGUGGGAUGGAACCGAAAACCAGGAGGCAGAUCGAUAAGAUCUUCUCCUUUGUUGACCACAACAGCAACUUCCAUUAAUAUCACAACACCAAACUUAAAAUCCUCCACAAGAACCUAAAAAUAUAAGCACAAAAGAAGCAAAUUCAAGAAAGAAAGAAAAGAAAAAUAGCAAGCAGCUAUGAGGAGGAGAAUGAAAAGAGAGAACAGUUAAGAAAGUAGAGCAAAGGCAGAAUAUAGAGCUUAAAUAGAGGAGUUUGCUGAGGAAAGAUCCGUGGACAACAAGGAACUCUUUUGUUGCAGUAUAAAGGAAGGCUCUUAUAGAGGGAGUUCAAUAGUUGUUGUUUCUGGUUUUAAUUUCUUUAUUAUUAAUUAUAUGUUGUGUGUAUUUGAUUUUGAUUUGUGGGUCUUU
This 2010-nucleotide unclassified non-coding RNA is filed under the name Hevea brasiliensis (rubber tree). Lineage: Eukaryota; Viridiplantae; Streptophyta; Magnoliopsida; Malpighiales; Euphorbiaceae. The record is from RNAcentral.